Molecule: ribosomal RNA, 497 nt
Filed under: uncultured bacterium
Lineage: Bacteria
Description: partial 16S ribosomal RNA
Rfam family: Bacterial small subunit ribosomal RNA
Source: RNAcentral
GACGAACGCUGGCGGCGUGCCUAAUACAUGCAAGUCGAGCGGAGGGGCGCGUAGCUUGCUGCGGUGGUGUUAGCGGCGGAAGGGGGAGUAAAACAUGGGUAAAAUCUCUCUCCGACUGGGGGAAAAUCGGGAAAAAGUAGCUCAAACAGGAGAAAUUCUGGGACUGCCUGGUGGAAAGGUGAAAGACGGUAUUGCUGCCACGUAUAGAUGGCUCCGCGCUGAAUUAGCUAGUUGGUAAGGUAACGGCUUACCAAGGCGACGAUGCAUAGCCGACCUGAGAGGGUGGUCGGCCACACUGGAACGGCUGCACGGCCCAGACUCCUACGGGAGGCAGCAGUAGUGAAUCUUCCGCAAUGGUCGGAGGCCGGACGGUGCAACGCCGCGUGAGUGAUGAUGGUCUUCGUAUCGUAAAACUCUGUUAUUAGGGAAGAACAUAUGUGUAAGUUUCUGUGCACAUCUUGACGGUACCUAAUCAGAAAGCCACGGCUAACUACGUG